RNAcentral lists this ribosomal RNA (254 nucleotides) under uncultured bacterium. RNAcentral's name for it is "partial 16S ribosomal RNA". It matches the Rfam family "Bacterial small subunit ribosomal RNA", at positions 524 to 776 of the family's 1533-position model. The record is from RNAcentral.
UACGUAGGGUGCAAGCGUUGUCCGGAAUUAUUGGGCGUAAAGAGCUCGUAGGCGGUUUGUUGCGUCGGCUGUGAAAUCCCGAGGCUCAACCUCGGGUCUGCAGUCGAUACGAGCAAACUAGAGUGUUGCAGGGGAGACUGGAAUUCCUGGUGUAGCGGUGAAAUGCGCAGAUAUCAGGAGGAACACCGGUGGCGAAGGCGGGUCUCUGGGCAACAACUGACGCUGAGGAGCGAAAGCGUGGGGGAGCGAACAGG